This 385-nucleotide ribosomal RNA is filed under the name Ara macao (Scarlet macaw). RNAcentral describes it as "partial 16S large subunit ribosomal RNA". The record is from RNAcentral. Lineage: Eukaryota; Metazoa; Chordata; Aves; Psittaciformes; Psittacidae.
CCUGCAAAACGAAUCUAAGUUCCCCCUUAACCCUCUUUUCCCUCCCCAGACAAACCCAACCCAAAUGUGAUAGUUAAGGGCUAUUUAAAGGGGGUACAGCCCCUUUAAAAAAGGACACAACCUCCACCAGCGGAUAACCCCUGUACGCCCAACCCCGUGGGCCUUAAAGCAGCCACCCCCAAAGAUUGCGUCAAAGCUCCAUCAACCAAAAACCCCCAAAACCAAUGCGACUCCCUACACCCACAGCAGGCCAACCUAUAACAAUAGAUGAAUCAAUGCUAGAACGAGUAACCAGGACACUAUGUCCCCCCAAGCGCCAGCCUGUAUACCAUUAACAGUAAAACCUCAAUAAUAACCACCCCCACCAUUGAACCCACCCUGUCAA